AGAGUUUGAUCAUGGCUCAGAGCGAACGCUGGCGGCGUGGAUAAGACAUGCAAGUCGAACGAGACUUUUCGUUGUAGCAAUACGAUGGAAAGUUUAGUGGCGAACGGGUGCUUAACACGUGGGCAACCUGCCAUGAAGUGGGGGAUAGCUCGCCGAAAGGCGAAUUAAUACCGCAUGUGAUCAGAAAGGACAUCCUUUCGWAAUUAAAGUCGGGGCAACCUGMCGCUUCUUGUGGGGCCCGCGGCCUAUCAGCUAGUUGGUGAGGUAACGGCCCACCAAGGCUUUGWCGGGUAGCUGGUCUGAGAGGACGACCAGCCACACUGGGACUGAGACACGGCCCAGACACCUACGGGUGGCAGCAGUCGAGAAUUUUUGACAAUGGGGGAAACCCUGAUCGAGCGACGCCGCGUGGAGGAUGAAGGUCUU
RNAcentral lists this ribosomal RNA (426 nucleotides) under uncultured Verrucomicrobiota bacterium. Its description in RNAcentral is "bacterial SSU rRNA". It matches the Rfam family "Bacterial small subunit ribosomal RNA", at positions 8 to 418 of the family's 1533-position model. The record is from RNAcentral. Lineage: Bacteria; Pseudomonadati; Verrucomicrobiota.